RNAcentral lists this ribosomal RNA (426 nucleotides) under uncultured bacterium. RNAcentral describes it as "partial 16S ribosomal RNA". It matches the Rfam family "Bacterial small subunit ribosomal RNA", at positions 355 to 774 of the family's 1533-position model. The record is from RNAcentral.
UGGGGAAUAUUGCACAAUGGGCGCAAGCCUGAUGCAGCCAUGCCGCGUGUAUGAAGAAGGCCUUCGGGUUGUAAAGUACUUUCAGCGGGGAGGAAGGUGUUGUGGUUAAUAACCACAGCAAUUGACGUUACCCGCAGAAGAAGCACCGGCUAACUCCGUGCCAGCAGCCGCGGUAAUACGGAGGGUGCAAGCGUUAAUCGGAAUUACUGGGCGUAAAGCGCACGCAGGCGGUCUGUCAAGUCGGAUGUGAAAUCCCCGGGCUCAACCUGGGAACUGCAUCCGAAACUGGCAGGCUUGAGUCUUGUAGAGGGGGGUAGAAUUCCAGGUGUAGCGGUGAAAUGCGUAGAGAUCUGGAGGAAUACCGGUGGCGAAGGCGGCCCCUGGACAAAGACUGACGCUCAGGUGCGAAAGCGUGGGGAGCAAACA